RNAcentral lists this ribosomal RNA (234 nucleotides) under Trichouropoda sp. OctN2UR2DINF3. Its description in RNAcentral is "partial large subunit ribosomal RNA". It matches the Rfam family "Bacterial large subunit ribosomal RNA", at positions 2075 to 2534 of the family's 2925-position model. Lineage: Eukaryota; Metazoa; Arthropoda; Arachnida; Mesostigmata; Trematuridae. The record is from RNAcentral.
GGGAUUGUACACUAAAAUAUGAGUGGGACGAGAAGACCCUAUGAAUCUUUAGUAUAUAUUUAUAAGAUAAUAAAUAUAUUGUAGAUAUAUAUUUUUGUUGGGGCGACGGAGAUUUAAAGAAUAACUUUAUUUGGAGCCGCUAUUAGCGAUUGUAUGAAUAAGAUACUCUAGGGAUAACAGCGUUAUUAUUUCAGAGAGAUCUUAUCGAUGAAAUAGAUUGCGACCUCGAUGUUG